GGGCUUGACAUCCCACGAAUCCCGCGGAAACGCGGGAGUGCCCGCAAGGGAGCGCGGAGACAGGUGGUGCAUGGCUGUCGUCAGCUCGUGUCGUGAGAUGUUGGGUUAAGUCCCGCAACGAGCGCAACCCUCACCCCUUGUUGCCAUCAGGUAAAGCUGGGCACUCUAGGGGAACUGCCCCGGUCAACGGGGAGGAAGGCGGGGAUGACGUCAAGUCAUCAUGCCCCUUACGUCCUGGGCUACACACGUGCUACAAUGGCCGGUACAAAGGGAUGCAAGACCGCGAGGUGGAGCUAAACCCAAAAAGCCGGUCUAAGUUCAGAUUGGAGUCUGCAACUCGACUCCAUGAAGGAGGAAUCGCUAGUAAUCGCGCAUCAGCACGGCGCGGUGAAUACGUUCCCGGGCCUUGUACACACCGCCCGUCACACCACGAAAGCCAGUUGUACUCGAAGUCGCUGAG
This 460-nucleotide ribosomal RNA is filed under the name uncultured Methylomirabilota bacterium. Its description in RNAcentral is "bacterial SSU rRNA". It matches the Rfam family "Bacterial small subunit ribosomal RNA", at positions 977 to 1434 of the family's 1533-position model. The record is from RNAcentral. Lineage: Bacteria; Methylomirabilota (SeqCode).